UACGUAGGGUGCGAGCGUUGUCCGGAAUUAUUGGGCGUAAAGAGCUCGUAGGCGGUUUGUCGCGUCGGCCGUGAAAACUUGGGGCUUAACUCCAAGCUUGCGGUCGAUACGGGCAGACUUGAGUUCGGCAGGGGAGACUGGAAUUCCUGGUGUAGCGGUGAAAUGCGCAGAUAUCAGGAGGAACACCGGUGGCGAAGGCGGGUCUCCGGGCCGAUACUGACACUGAGAAGCGAAAGCGUGGGGAGCGAACAGG
This 253-nucleotide ribosomal RNA is filed under the name uncultured bacterium. Its description in RNAcentral is "partial 16S ribosomal RNA". It matches the Rfam family "Bacterial small subunit ribosomal RNA", at positions 524 to 776 of the family's 1533-position model. The record is from RNAcentral.